AAUGAGGCUUUACCACCAGGUAGAAGCUUUUUUAAUAAACAAAGACCUGAACAUGUACAACUUCCAUUAAAAACUUAAAAUUAAACUUAGGGUAAGAGAAUAAAAACAUAUUGUCCUGCUUAAUGUUGAACAUGUUGAAAUAAAUUUUGAUUACUAUCAUGCUUAUCAUGCUUAUGGUCUAUAAAUUGUUUUUUUAAGCAAAAAAUUAAUAUACAUGUACAUGAUGUAUAUUGUACCCUGGUUAAUAGCUUAACAAUUUAAAUUCUGUCCUUAGCUGACAAGGAUAUUUUGACCAUUCUAAUCCUCCCCCUUUCUUUUUGGUAAUUAAAUGGUCCCAAGACUCACGCCAUAUAUACAUUUAAUAUAUAACUGUUGCAUGGGUUUAUUAAUGCGAUUUUAUAAUUCAAGACUGAAAUGUGAUUUAAAUUUUGAGAUAUUCAGAAAUAUC
Molecule: long non-coding RNA, 448 nt
Filed under: Mytilus galloprovincialis (Mediterranean mussel)
Lineage: Eukaryota; Metazoa; Mollusca; Bivalvia; Mytilida; Mytilidae
Source: RNAcentral